This is an RNA transcript of Brachypodium distachyon (stiff brome), 2295 nucleotides long. RefSeq lists it as uncharacterized. Lineage: Eukaryota; Viridiplantae; Streptophyta; Magnoliopsida; Poales; Poaceae. The transcript is spliced from 10 exons. The record is from RefSeq and is a predicted model, not a curated record.
GCCUACGGGUGCCAUCCCUGGUCCGGACUGCCGGAGGGAAUAGUUGCCUUUUUCCAUUUCUCUUGGAAAAUCAGCGAUUUCUGUAUGUACCAGCGUCAAAACGCUUGAUGGAAACAUUUCAUCUCGAAUAAAGAACCCCGCUACACUUCGAUCCAUCUCCGCGAGAUCUGCCGUGUUCUCCCCUCUGCCGACUCCCGAUAAGAUCCCUUUCUCCACCGAUCCGGCUCCUCGGCGAUGGUCGUCUGCAAAUGCCGCAAGGCGACCAGGGUUUACUGCUUUGUCCACCAGGUUCCGGUCUGCGGUGAAUGCAUCUGCUUCCCGGAACAUCAGUUAUGCGUGGUAAAAAACUAUGCUGAAUGGGUUGUUAAUUCUGAUUAUGACUGGCCACAACACUGCUCACACUGCAAUUUGGUUCUGGAAGGUCCAAGUGAAGAAACUACACGAUUGGGUUGCCUCCAUGUGGUACACACAAAAUGCUUGAUAUCACAUGUCCAAAGUUUCCCAACGAAAACAGCACCAGCAGGAUAUGUCUGCCCCUCAUGUUCAGUACCUUUAUGGCCUCCUUCAAGUAUUAAAGAUACAGGUUCUAGCCUUCACUCUAAACUGAAGGAAGUAGUAAUCCAGACUGGAUUGGAGAAGAAUGUAUUCGGGAACCAUUUUGUGACAAUGCCUAAAGCUGAUGCUCGCACCCCUCCUGCAUUUGCUUCCGAUCCUCUUAAGCAUCUGCCCGGUUCUGGUGAAUCUAUUGGUGCAAACACAAUUAACUCUCUUAAAGAUGCAACUGUACCAUCAGUGUUACUUUCCAAGGAGGAGAAAUAUCCUGCUGGAAUGUAUUCAUCUGGGACAUCUAGUCACGUGGAACGUGAAAUAGUUGAAAUGGAUGGUCCUGCUCCUAUAACAACUCAAUUCACAGAACAGGAGCCCAAUUUCAUCAGAAGUCCAAGCCCACAUGGGCCCGGUGCCACGACAAGAAAAGGUGCUAACUAUGUUGAGAGGCAAAAUUCAGAGAUGUCUUAUUAUGCUGAUGAUGAAGAUGCAAACCGCAAAAAGUAUACUAAAAGGGGUACCUUCCGUCACAAAUUUCUUAGGAUGCUGCUACCUUUCUGGUCUAGUGCAUUGCCAACAUUGCCAGUUACAGCACCCCCUAAAAAAGAGAAUGAUGCUCCUGAAGGCCGCUCACGACAUCAGAGAUCAUCAAGCAUGGAUCCAACAAAGAUCUUACUUGCAAUGGCAAUCAUAACUUCCCUCAGACGGCUGUAUGGUUGCACUAUCUUGCUGCUCCCCAUGUAUCACAUGCUGCUCAUCACCACCACCCUGCUGUCUCCUGGUAUAUACUUGGAGGUUUCUUUCCUCAUUCACCCUGCGCCACUGUUGUUGUUGCUCUUGGGCCUGACCUUGAUCUCGCCCCGCUGCUGGAAUCAUACCAACUAUCGGUUGUUGUUGUUGCUGCUGCAUUUGAGCCUGCUCAACUUGCUCCUUCUAAGCUUAUUCAACUCUCAUCUCCCCCUCUUGACCAAUCUCACUGAGCUGAGGAUUGUCAAGAUCCUGAAACAGCAGGCUGAGGUCAGUCUUUUCACCAUACAAAGGUUCAGACUCUCUAAACGUAACAUCCAUACUGACAAUGACAAAGGUUCUCCUUUCAGUGGGACUCCAACACUUACAUCCUUGCUGCCCUGGCGAGUAGCCAAUAAAGAUGCACUUGAUGGCGCGAGGAUCAAGUUUGUUCACUGAGGGCCUGUGAUCUCUAACAAAACAUGUGCAACCAAACAAUUUCGGUGGCACAAUGAAGUUAUUCUUUGGAUAAAUCAAUUCACAGGGAGAUUUCAUGCCUGUCACCCUGAUGGCAUACGGCUUAUCAAGGCAUGUGUGGCAACGAUGGGAAUCCUCUAUUACCGGUUGUCACAGCGGAGUCUUUUUUCUGAAAACUUUGCCGACGACGAGCCUCAAUAGUACAGUUGAAACUUUGGACCAUGCAGUUUUAUGUCUAGUACUGCUUUGCUGCUGAUUCAAGGGUUUUACCCUCCCUGUAGCCCUUUUUGGGGUUCGCUAGUUACAUGAGUUAAGUAGACCGAAACACCUAAUGGAGUUCGGGCUAUACGGGGUCUGAAAUUUAAACUGUUUCUAUAGGAUCGUUCGUGUGGUUUUGUAACUAUGAAGCUGUUAUAUUGGUAUGUACACCUGAUGGAAAGCCAUAGAAAAUUGUGGUCUACCUUGUGUUCAUAUUAUGGCAAGAGAGUAACUGUCUGUUCUUACUAAUUGACGACUGGAGACUGCACUGUGAUUCCAUUUAAUUUC